Long non-coding RNA from Rhea pennata, 178 nucleotides. RefSeq lists it as uncharacterized. Lineage: Eukaryota; Metazoa; Chordata; Aves; Rheiformes; Rheidae. The record is from RefSeq and is a predicted model, not a curated record. The transcript is spliced from 3 exons.
GAGACUUGCUGAAAAGCCAUCCUGGCUUUCCACUCGACUGCUUGCGUUUGAGGGCUUACUUCUGCCGAGCGGCUCCGCUGGAACGAGGAAAGCUGUUCUCCAUGCCUGGCGCUGUUUGCUGAACCUUCGCCCGCGGGGAAAUCCUUCCGGGAGAAAAAGCCAUCGCUGGAAAAAGGGC